CCUACGGGAGGCAGCAGUGGGGGAUAUUGGACAAUGGAGGGAACCCUGAUCCAGCGACGCCGCGUGAGUGAAGAAGUAUCUCGGUAUGUAAAGCUCUAUCAGCAGGGAAGAAAAACUGACGGUACCUGCGUCAGCAUCCCCGGCUAACUACGUGCCAUCAGCCGCGGUCAUACGUAGGGGGCAGGCGUUAUCCGGAAUUACUGGGUGUAACGGGAGCGUAUACGGUGAUGUAAGUCUGGAGUGAAAGGCGGGGGCCCAACCCCCGGACUGCGCUGGAAACUAUGUGACUGGAGUGCAGGAGAGGUGAGCGGAAUUCCUAGUGUAGCGGUGAAAUGCGUAGAUAUUAGGAGGAACACCAGUGGCGAAGGCGGCUCACUGGACUGUAACUGACGUUGAGGCUCGAAAGCGUGGGGAGCAAACAGGAUUAGAUACCCGUGUAGUC
This 442-nucleotide ribosomal RNA is filed under the name uncultured bacterium. RNAcentral's name for it is "partial 16S ribosomal RNA". It matches the Rfam family "Bacterial small subunit ribosomal RNA", at positions 338 to 795 of the family's 1533-position model. The record is from RNAcentral.